This 725-nucleotide long non-coding RNA is filed under the name Nicotiana tabacum (common tobacco). RNAcentral describes it as "long non-coding RNA (NTAB_LNC000001)". Lineage: Eukaryota; Viridiplantae; Streptophyta; Magnoliopsida; Solanales; Solanaceae. The record is from RNAcentral.
GGAGUCAGAGGAGCACAGCACGGAGGCUGUCUUCUCGCAAAUUAUGAAUCCACAAGGUAGAUAGUUGCUUAGUUCUACUAUUGUACUUUUGUUUUUGUUCUACAAGUUUAUAGUUGACGAGGAGAGGCUUGCUUAGUUGGUAGAGCACCUCCAUCUCCAACCAGCUAAGGCUAAAGUUCAAUUAAAGGGCGUUUCCACGUUGUAGGUAGUUGGUAAGUGGAAGCACUAUUAAUCAGACUUGUAGCCUGUAUUUCUGUCUUCCUUAGUGCCUUCAUUUUUGCUUAGUUGGUAGAGCACCUCCAUCUCCAACCAGCUAAGGCUAAAGUUCAAUUAAAGGGCGUUUCCACGUUGUAGGUAGUUGGUAAGUGGAAGCACUAUUAAUCAGACUUGUAGCCUGUAUUUCUGUCUUCCUUGGUGCCUUCAUUUUUUCUUCUCCAUGAUGUCUCACCAUUUGAGUGAAGCAGCUUUAAUAUUAUAGCUGUAUUAUUUAUGGUUAGCACAACUCUAUCUUCUGAAAUUGCAUCCGGCCCAACGGUUUGCGCUAUUAUUAUUCAAGAAAAGAAAACAGAUCAACUAUUAUAACGUAAUGGUUAUAGCCUAUAUGUAUAAUGCAUGUUUUGAUCUACAAAUAUGCAUCUUAGUUAACUAGUGAGCUUAAAGAGAAAAGAAUUUAUCCUUCUAAGGAAACCUAUAUGAUCUUUGAGCAUCUUAUUUCAAUAUUUUUU